Molecule: long non-coding RNA, 1045 nt
Organism: Mesocricetus auratus (golden hamster)
Lineage: Eukaryota; Metazoa; Chordata; Mammalia; Rodentia; Cricetidae
Exons: 3
Source: RefSeq, a predicted model, not a curated record
CAGCUUUGGGGUAACCCUCUCCGGAGAUUUCCCUAGACCUGGGAGACACCCCCUCCAGGCUCCAGGGGCUUCCCAGUCACAACUUGCACCUCCAUGCUGUUUUGGACAGCUGCUCCUUGGAGCUAGGUCCCUUCUCUCUCUCUCUCCUGAGUCCCCAGAUCUACCAUGAGCCAAGAACGUACACAACAGAAACCAAACAGUGCUGAACCAAAGAAUGAAUACUGAGGCCAGGGAGGGACCAGUCCCGUGCAUGGGCCAGACAGCGGAGCCCGCAGAUGGAAACGGAAACUCCUAAGUCGUGAUGGCUGAAGCCACCUUUUCCGUCUGCCAGCGACCGCCGAGAACAGAGGGAAGUGCAGGCACUUCUCCCCAAGUCCUGAUGCAUCAGGGAAAGUGUGAAUGUCAGUGCCCAGAUCUGUCCUGAUCAAUCCUCCUUGCGCCCAGGAAAAAAGGAUUCUUUUGGGGUUGGGCUGCCACCUGCUGGUGCACACAGAAACUGCAACUGCGCCACCAAGCAGAAGCCCUACCCCAGAGAGCACAUAAGAUAACAAAUGUUAACUUUUAUUUUGUCCUUGCACAGGGCUCCUGCCAAAUUAUUUUGAGAGACGAGAAUGCAAAGCAGGCUUCCAUUUAACCCAGGCUAGCUUCCAACCCGACACUAUCCUUAAAGUCUAAGUGCUGAGAUUAUAGGCAUGUGCCACCAUGGCCCAGCACUCCUGUCAAGUCAUCCAAACUGGUCAACCCAUUCCACUUUCUCCGAAUGAGGUAACAUCUCAUGAUACAUGCUAACUGGUAGUGCCACAACCUUGAUCGUAUUGCUGACCGUUAAGUGACUUGCACAGCCUCUCUUCCCGGACACUAGCACCUGAGCUGAAGUUGGGGAUCUCCCAGUCUGACCCGCUUACCAUGCUGACGUAAGUGCUGACAUCCAGGAUGUAUCUGGCGUGAUGCUUAGUUAAGCCCGCAAAAAUGCUGAGCUCUCUGGUGGUUGGCCGCCACACCUUUAAUCCCAGCACUAGAGAGGAUUAUAAGGCAGGAGCUAAGA